This 350-nucleotide ribosomal RNA is filed under the name Escherichia coli. RNAcentral describes it as "bacterial SSU rRNA". It matches the Rfam family "Bacterial small subunit ribosomal RNA", at positions 1 to 347 of the family's 1533-position model. Lineage: Bacteria; Pseudomonadati; Pseudomonadota; Gammaproteobacteria; Enterobacterales; Enterobacteriaceae. The record is from RNAcentral.
AAAUUGAAGAGUUUGAUCAUGGCUCAGAUUGAACGCUGGCGGCAGGCCUAACACAUGCAAGUCGAACGGUAACAGGAAACAGCUUGCUGUUUCGCUGACGAGUGGCGGACGGGUGAGUAAUGUCUGGGAAACUGCCUGAUGGAGGGGGAUAACUACUGGAAACGGUAGCUAAUACCGCAUAACGUCGCAAGACCAAAGAGGGGGACCUUCGGGCCUCUUGCCAUCGGAUGUGCCCAGAUGGGAUUAGCUAGUUGGUGGGGUAACGGCUCACCAAGGCGACGAUCCCUAGCUGGUCUGAGAGGAUGACCAGCCACACUGGAACUGAGACACGGUCCAGACUCCUACGGGAG